Molecule: ribosomal RNA, 729 nt
Filed under: unidentified archaeon
Lineage: Archaea
Description: bacterial SSU rRNA
Rfam family: Archaeal small subunit ribosomal RNA
Source: RNAcentral
AUAACCCCGGGAAACUGGGGAUAAUUCCGGAUAACGCACAUAUGCUGGAAUGCUUUAUGCGUGAAAUGGAUUCGUCUGCCCAAGGAUGGGUCUGCGGCCUAUCAGGUAGUAGUGGGUGUAAUGUACCUACUAGCCUACGACGGGUACGGGUUGUGAGAGCAAGAGCCCGGAGAUGGAUUCUGAGACAUGAAUCCAGGCCCUACGGGGCGCAGCAGGCGCGAAAACUUUACAAUGCGGGAAACCGUGAUAAGGGGACACCGAGUGCCAGCAUCCUAUGCUGGCUGUCCAGGUGUGCAAAAUACACCUGUUAGCAAGGGCCGGGCAAGACCGGUGCCAGCCGCCGCGGUAACACCGGCGGCCCGAGUGGUGAUCGUGAUUAUUGGGUCUAAAGGGUCCGUAGCCGGUUUGGUCAGUCCUCCGGGAAAUCUGACAGCUUAACUGUUAGGCUUUCGGAGGAUACUGCCAGACUUGGAACCGGGAGAGGUAAGAGGUACUACAGGGGUAGGAGUGAAAUCUUGUAAUCCCUGUGGGACCACCUGUGGCGAAGGCGUCUUACCAGAACGGGUUCGACGGUGAGGGACGAAAGCUGGGGGCACGAACCGGAUUAGAUACCCGGGUAGUCCCAGCCGUAAACGAUGCUCGCUAGGUGUCAGGCAUGGCGCGACCGUGUCUGGUGCCGCAGGGAAGCCGUGAAGCGAGCCACCUGGGAAGUACGGCCGCAAGGCUGAA